UGUUGCUUUGGCGGGCCCGCCUCGGCCACCGGCUCCGGCUGGUGAGCGCCCGCCAGAGGACCCCAAACUCUGAAAUUUAGUGUCGUCUGAGUACUAUAUAAUAGUUAAAACUUUCAACAACGGAUCUCUUGGUUCUGGCAUCGAUGAAGAACGCAGCGAAAUGCGAUAAGUAAUGUGAAUUGCAGAAUUCAGUGAAUCAUCGAAUCUUUGAACGCACAUUGCGCCCCUUGGUAUUCCGGGGGGCAUGCCUGUUCGAGCGUCAUUACAACCCUCAAGCUCUGCUUGGUAUUGGGCGUCCCCGGCGACGGGGUGCCCUAAAAUCAGUGGCGGUGCCGUCUGGCUCUAAGCGUAGUAAAUCUCUCGCUCUGGAUGCCCGGUGGAUGCUCGCCAGAACCCCCCAUUUUUACAGGUUGACCUCGGAUCAGGUAGGGAUACCCGCUGAACUUAAG
This 449-nucleotide ribosomal RNA is filed under the name Phlyctema vagabunda. Its description in RNAcentral is "eukaryotic LSU rRNA". The stretch from base 109 to 262 matches the Rfam family "5.8S ribosomal RNA". Lineage: Eukaryota; Fungi; Ascomycota; Leotiomycetes; Helotiales; Dermateaceae. The record is from RNAcentral.